Molecule: ribosomal RNA, 460 nt
Filed under: uncultured bacterium
Lineage: Bacteria
Description: partial 16S ribosomal RNA
Rfam family: Bacterial small subunit ribosomal RNA
Source: RNAcentral
CCUACGGGUGGCAGCAGUGAGGAAUAUUGGUCAAUGGCCGGAAGGCUGAACCAGCCAUGCCGCGUGAAGGUCAGUGCCCUAUGGGCGUUAAACUUCUUUUGUGCGGGAGCAAUAAUGCUCACGUUUGGCCAGACGACAGUACCGUCCGAAUAAGCAUCGGCUAACUCCGUGCCAGCAGCCGCGGUAAUACGGGGGGUGCAAGCGUUAUCCGGAUUUAUGGGGUUUAAAGGGGGCGUAGGCUGUGAGGUAAGUCAGCGGUGAAAUGCCCCCGCUCAACGGGGUGAAGUGCCAUGGAUACUGGCGGGCUGGAAUGCGGAUGCCGUGGGAGGAAUGUGUGGUGUAGCGGUGAAAUGCAUAGAUAUCACACAGAACACCGAUUGCGAAGGCAUCUCACGAAGCCGCGAUUGACGCUGAUGCACGAAAGCGUGGGUAGCAAACAGGAUUAGAUACCCUUGUAGUC